UCCAUAAGGAGAAGGGUCUUGGCUUCUUUCUGUCUGAGAGAAACCAGUUCACCAGAUGGUGAGACAUGGAGAGUGGCAGAGCAACCCUUCUGUGUUCUCUUUGUUGGGGAUCCACCUGCCUGCAGAGGGCACGUGUCAGUUGUAUACAGAUGAGCAGAAAACAGGAAGAAUUAAACACCCACUCUAAGCACUGAGCACACCAAGUUAAGAAAAGCUGUUUUGGAUUCCACACCAGGUAGGAACUGAGAAGCUAAGGAUUAGGCCCAACAAGGAAGAAUAAAGGCAGGAGAAGGGACCUUCAGUCAUAGCUGUUAUCAGCCUUGGGCCGGCUUCACAAGGAAAUUUGAGAGUAACUCAAGCUUUGGUAAACACUCACAUGAAUUGUCCGGAGAUGCCUGGGGAAAGAGAAUGAAAAUGAGAGGAUAAGGAACCUUGGGACAGGAACCCAGACGGAAAUUAUUACAGGAGAGUAAUUAAAAUGCCGUGACAACCCUCUGAAGUUGAAAGAGAACAGUGCACUGGAGUCUAAGGCUUUGUCCUUUUCCGGCUGUAACCAUUGCCUUCCUGUCUCCUUCAUAGACCUCAAUCAUGGAGAUCCGUAAAAAACAGUCAUCACUGA
This is a non-coding RNA of Macaca mulatta (Rhesus monkey), 619 nucleotides long. The record is from RefSeq and is a predicted model, not a curated record. Lineage: Eukaryota; Metazoa; Chordata; Mammalia; Primates; Cercopithecidae.